UGGGGAAUUUUGGACAAUGGGCGAAAGCCUGAUCCAGCAAUGCCGCGUGUGUGAAGAAGGCCUUCGGGUUGUAAAGCACUUUUGUCCGGAAAGAAAUCCUUGGCUCUAAUACAGUCGGGGGAUGACGGUACCGGAAGAAUAAGCACCGGCUAACUACGUGCCAGCAGCCGCGGUAAUACGUAGGGUGCAAGCGUUAAUCGGAAUUACUGGGCGUAAAGCGUGCGCAGGCGGUUUGCUAAGACCGAUGUGAAAUCCCCGGGCUCAACCUGGGAACUGCAUUGGUGACUGGCAGGCUAGAGUAUGGCAGAGGGGGGUAGAAUUCCACGUGUAGCAGUGAAAUGCGUAGAGAUGUGGAGGAAUACCGAUGGCGAAGGCAGCCCCCUGGGCCAAUACUGACGCUCAUGCACGAAGGCGUGGGGAACAAACAGGAUUAGAUACCCUGGUAGUCCACGCCCUAAACGAUGUCAACUAGUUGUUGGGGAUUCAUUUCCUUAGUAACGUAGCUAACGCGUGAAGUUGACCGCCUGGGGAGUACGGUCGCAAGAUUAAAACUUAAAUGAAUUGACGGGGUCAUAGCUGUUUCCU
This 585-nucleotide ribosomal RNA is filed under the name uncultured bacterium. Its description in RNAcentral is "partial 16S ribosomal RNA". It matches the Rfam family "Bacterial small subunit ribosomal RNA", at positions 355 to 1375 of the family's 1533-position model. The record is from RNAcentral.